This 253-nucleotide ribosomal RNA is filed under the name uncultured bacterium. RNAcentral's name for it is "partial 16S ribosomal RNA". It matches the Rfam family "Bacterial small subunit ribosomal RNA", at positions 524 to 776 of the family's 1533-position model. The record is from RNAcentral.
UACAGAGGUCCCGAGCGCUGUUCGGAUUCACUGGGCGUAAAGGGCGCGUAGGCGGCGCGGGUAGUCAACGGUGAAAGCUUGGGGCUCAACCCCGAGUCGGCCGUCGAUACUCCCGUGCUUGAGCACUGUAGAGGCAGGUGGAAUUCCGGGUGUAGCGGUGGAAUGCGUAGAGAUCCGGAAGAACACCGGUGGCGAAGGCGGCCUGCUGGGCAGUAGCUGACGCUGAGGCGCGACAGCGUGGGGAGCAAACAGG